UUAAUUUGUUGUAUUUGCGAACGUAAAAAUGUUGCUUUACAUUUACAACUCGUUUGCUGUACGUAUGGUUUGGCUAUAGAAGUGUUUACCUAAGGGAGCAGACAUUUCUCGGCACGAUGGUUAUGGAGUGAUGUGCUCACGUGCAGUCUGUCAUUUGCUGCACGACAUCUGUACUUUGUGUUUUGCGAGUGGUAUAUAUUUAUAUUUUUAAUGACUGCUCUUCAUCAUUUGCCACCAGUGCCUCUCCUUGUUCACCGUGACUACUGGACCCACCUUUGCCUCCUGGAGCUCAAUCCAUCCAAUGUGAGGAUGCUUAUGCAACAAUGCGAAUUCUGAUCCGAAUAGCUUUAUGAUCUAAAUGGGUGUGAAAUAAAAAAAAAAAUAAAGGCUA
This is a long non-coding RNA of Protopterus annectens (West African lungfish), 391 nucleotides long. RefSeq lists it as uncharacterized. Lineage: Eukaryota; Metazoa; Chordata; Ceratodontiformes; Protopteridae. The transcript has 2 exons. The record is from RefSeq and is a predicted model, not a curated record.